Molecule: ribosomal RNA, 254 nt
Filed under: uncultured bacterium
Lineage: Bacteria
Description: partial 16S ribosomal RNA
Rfam family: Bacterial small subunit ribosomal RNA
Source: RNAcentral
UACGUAGGGGGCGAGCGUUGUCCGGAAUCAUUGGGCGUAAAGAGCUCGUAGGCGGUUCAGCAAGUCGGCUGUGAAAUUCCGAGGCUCAACCUCGGAACUGCAGUCGAUACUGCUGUGACUCGAGUCCGGUAGAGGAGAAUGGAAUUCCCGGUGUAGCGGUGAAAUGCGCAGAUAUCGGGAGGAACACCAGUAGCGAAGGCGGUUCUCUGGGCCGGCACUGACGCUGAGGAGCGAAAGCGUGGGGAGCAAACAGG